AGAGUUUGAUCAUGGCUCAGGACGAACGCUGGCGGCGUGCUUAACACAUGCAAGUCGAGCGGAAAGGCCCUUCGGGGUACUCGAGCGGCGAACGGGUGAGUAACACGUGAGUAACCUGCCUCUAGCUUUGGGAUAACCCUCGGAAACGGGGGCUAAUACCGGGUAUGAUCACUUGCCGCAUGGUGGGUGGUGGAAAGAUUUUUUGGCUAGGGAUGGGCUCGCGGCCUAUCAGCUUGUUGGUGGGGUGAUGGCCUACCAAGGCGACGACGGGUAGCCGGCCUGAGAGGGCGACCGGCCACACUGGGACUGAGACACGGCCCAGACUCCUACGGGAGGCAGCAGUGGGGAAUAUUGCACAAUGGGCGGAAGCCUGACGCAGCGACGCCGCGUGGGGGACGAAGGCCUUCGGGUUGUAAACCCCUUUCGGCAGGGACGAAGCGAUCGUGACGGUACCUGCAGAAGAAGUCCCGGCUAACUACGUGCCAGCAGCCGCGGUAAGACGUAGGGGACGAGCGUUGUCCGGAUUCAUUGGGCGUAAAGCGCGCGUAGGCGGUUUGGUAAGUCGGGUGUGAAAAUCCGGGGCUCAACCCCGGACCUGCACCCGAUACUGCCCGACUAGAGGUAGGUAGGGGAGAUCGGAAUUCCUGGUGUAGCGGUGAAAUGCGCAGAUAUCAGGAGGAACACCGGUGGCGAAGGCGGAUCUCUGGGCCUUACCUGACGCUGAGGUGCGAAAGCUAGGGGAGCGAACAGGAUUAGAUACCCUAGUAGUCC
RNAcentral lists this ribosomal RNA (771 nucleotides) under uncultured bacterium. RNAcentral describes it as "bacterial SSU rRNA". It matches the Rfam family "Bacterial small subunit ribosomal RNA", at positions 8 to 796 of the family's 1533-position model. The record is from RNAcentral.